This 253-nucleotide ribosomal RNA is filed under the name uncultured bacterium. Its description in RNAcentral is "partial 16S ribosomal RNA". It matches the Rfam family "Bacterial small subunit ribosomal RNA", at positions 524 to 776 of the family's 1533-position model. The record is from RNAcentral.
UACGGAGGGGGUUAGCGUUGUUCGGAAUUACUGGGCGUAAAGCGCGCGUAGGCGGGCUGUUAAGUCGGGGGUGGAAUCCCGGGGCUCAACCCCGGAACUGCCUUCGAUACUGGCAGCCUUGAGGUCGAGAGAGGUGAGUGGAACUCCGAGUGUAGAGGUGAAAUUCGUAGAUAUUCGGAAGAACACCAGUGGCGAAGGCGGCUCACUGGCUCGAUAUUGACCAUGAGGUGCGAAAGUGUGGGGAGCAAACAGG